GCCCCCUUAGCUCAAAGGGAAAGAGCGGCCGCCUUCUAAGCGGCGUGUCCGGGUUCGAAUCCCGGAGGGGGCGCCA
Molecule: transfer RNA, 76 nt
Filed under: Thermoflexus hugenholtzii JAD2
Lineage: Bacteria; Bacillati; Chloroflexota; Thermoflexia; Thermoflexales; Thermoflexaceae
Also listed under: 3 other names
Description: tRNA_Arg_TCT
Rfam family: tRNA
About the family: Transfer RNA (tRNA) molecules are approximately 80 nucleotides in length. Their secondary structure includes four short double-helical elements and three loops (D, anti-codon, and T loops). Further hydrogen bonds mediate the characteristic L-shaped molecular structure. tRNAs have two regions of fundamental functional importance: the anti-codon, which is responsible for specific mRNA codon recognition, and the 3' end, to which the tRNAs corresponding amino acid is attached (by aminoacyl-tRNA synthetases). tRNAs cope with the degeneracy of the genetic code in two manners: having more than one tRNA (with a specific anti-codon) for a particular amino acid; and 'wobble' base-pairing, i.e. permitting non-standard base-pairing at the 3rd anti-codon position.
Source: RNAcentral